This 449-nucleotide ribosomal RNA is filed under the name Amanita subalbida. RNAcentral describes it as "LSU rRNA". It matches the Rfam family "Bacterial large subunit ribosomal RNA", at positions 1719 to 2103 of the family's 2925-position model. The record is from RNAcentral. Lineage: Eukaryota; Fungi; Basidiomycota; Agaricomycetes; Agaricales; Amanitaceae.
AAAUUAUCCUCAUAAGUUAGACGAUAAGAGGUACCAUCUAUGAUUUCUAAUAUAAAAGCUUUGAUCUCUGACUUUCCCUAAAGGAGGGUAAGUUAUUAAAUGUCUUAUAUAAUUGAAAGAUAGAGGGUGGCACAGAAUCGGAGGCCCCGACUGUUUACUAAAAACACAACACAGUGCAAUCAUUAAUGUGGUAGUAUACUGUGUGAAAUUUGCCCAAUGCCAUUAAUAUAAAAGCGGUCAUGGGAAACUGUGACUAAUUGAAAAUCUGGUUAAUAGCGGUCUUAACCAUGAGGAUCCUAAGGUAGCAAAAUAAAUUGGCCAUUAAAUGUGGUCCGGUAUCAAUAAUGUAACGAUGGCCUCACUGUCUCUACAACUUGCUCAGUGAAAUUGAAUUACGCGUGCAGAUGCGCGUUACCUCCAGUGGGACGGGAAGACCCUAUGCACAUUCU